AAAUUGACAUCAGCAGGGAACUUAUAAGAAAUGAGGAAUCUCAAGUCCCACCCAGACCUAAGGAAUCAGAGUCUGCAUUUCAACAAGAUCCCUGGGUGUUGUAAUGAUACACUUGCAGUGUGAGAAGUGUUUCCUUACCUGCCUCUCAUUCUUGUUUGGGAGCAUUCAAUGCAAGAGGACAAUGGAGCAGGAUCUACACAAUUCUAAAGAAAAGCAAGCAUGACUCAAGGAUUUCCUCUUCAUCCUGUGUUCUUCAUGUAGAGAGACAGCAGAGAGGCAGUCAGAGAAUACUGUCUGAUAAGCCCUUGAAAAAGCUGUAGGGCCAAGAUGAGAUACAGAGAUGACUCAAAACAGAGAAUCCAGGAAUGCAUAGAUCCUGGUAAAAAAGUGUUCUGUCAGUUGUGGUGUUGGAAUCCAGAGAAGAAAGCAGGUGUGUCAAAGGCUGGCAGCCAAAGGUCGGCGCAUCCCCCUCAGUGAGAUGAUGUGCAGGGAUCUACCAGGGCUCCCUCUUGUAAGAUCUUGCCAGAUGCCUGAGUGCAGUAAAAUCAAAUCAGAGAUGAAGACAAAACUUGGUG
This 575-nucleotide unclassified non-coding RNA is filed under the name Homo sapiens (human). RNAcentral describes it as "ADAMTS like 3 (ENSG00000291606.1)". Lineage: Eukaryota; Metazoa; Chordata; Mammalia; Primates; Hominidae. The record is from RNAcentral.